Molecule: unclassified non-coding RNA, 283 nt
Filed under: Athalia rosae (coleseed sawfly)
Lineage: Eukaryota; Metazoa; Arthropoda; Insecta; Hymenoptera; Athaliidae
Description: misc RNA ENSAEAG00005009747.1
Source: RNAcentral
GUAACAAGCGAAUGGUCAACGAGUAUUCAAAAGUCGGAUAAUUUCUCCGCUAAAUUCAGUCUUCUCUCUCUGUAUCUCUAUAAAACAACUCCAGCUUUGCAUAAUUUGCAUACAUUAUCCAAAUUACGUGCCAUGGAUAGUUAGUUGUUCAUGAUUGGUUUGGGCACUGAGAUUCAAGCAAAAUUGAAACUACGUCAGAAAUCCCGGGUAAUUCUGACUCAAUUGGUCACUUUGCAUGGUGAAUGCUGGUACACGAGAUACUACAAGUUCAUUACCUAGUAUU